GGGGAAUAUUGCGCAAUGGGGGAAACCCUGACGCAGCAAUACCGCGUGAGUGAAGAAGGUUUUCGGAUCGUAAAGCUCUGUUAUUGGGGAAGAAAAAAAGACGGUACCCAAGAAGAAAGUCCCGGCUAACUACGUGCCAGCAGCCGCGGUAAUACGUAGGGGACAAGCGUUGUCCGGAUUUACUGGGCGUAAAGGGCACGCAGGCGGUUUUUUAAGUCAGAUGUGAAAGGUACCGGCUCAACCGGUGACAUGCAUUUGAAACUGGUGAACUUGAGUGUAGGAGAGGAAAGUGGAAUUCCCAGUGUAGCGGUGAAAUGCGUAGAUAUUGGGAGGAACACCAGUGGCGAAGGCGACUUUCUGGACUACAACUGACGCUGAGGCACGAAAGCGUGGGGAGCAAACA
Molecule: ribosomal RNA, 403 nt
Filed under: uncultured Acetobacterium sp.
Lineage: Bacteria; Bacillati; Bacillota; Clostridia; Eubacteriales; Eubacteriaceae
Description: bacterial SSU rRNA
Rfam family: Bacterial small subunit ribosomal RNA
Source: RNAcentral